AGUAGGGGCUUCUGAGACAGACACCCAGGACUGGAUUGACAUCAGUGCUGCUGACUGUUAAGUAUUCAGGGAUUUUGCAAGCCUCUUGUUAAACUAUCGAUCCCUUGAAACUGGCCAUGAUGGAAGGUAAUAUUUACACCACAGAAAUUGGCACACUAUGACUCCAGGCUUUCUCCCUUCCUCCCUUCCUCCUUUCCUCCCUUUCCCUCUCUCUGUCUCUCUCUCUGUCUCUGUCUUUCCCUCUCUUUUUCUUAUUUUUCAGAGAGUGGUUUACCAGAGUGCUCCUGGCUCAAGUCCCUGCUUGGACACAUGUUAAGUGUGUGACUGCUCCAAGCCCCUGUCCCCUCUGGGAAACUCAGACUUUGAGGGUACAGCCCCAGCUUCAGAAGAUUACAAGAAGUAGAUGGCUGUCUGGCGACUUUGAGUGUGUGUCCCACACACACUGCACCGCUAGUGAUCCACCAGAAAAUCCCCAGCUGCAGACCUACACUCUGGUACCAGCAGCACGAACACCUACAGAUCUAAGAGGAAGCCCAUGCGAGCCAGAGAAGGUGGGGUGAAUCCCAGAGAGAAGAGAGUCGGAGGAGGAAUUCCUAA
This is a long non-coding RNA of Herpailurus yagouaroundi (jaguarundi), 597 nucleotides long. RefSeq lists it as uncharacterized. The transcript is spliced from 3 exons. NCBI's taxonomy places the organism in Eukaryota, Metazoa, Chordata, Mammalia, Carnivora, Felidae. The record is from RefSeq and is a predicted model, not a curated record.